UACGUAGGGGGCAAGCGUUGUCCGGAAUCAUUGGGCGUAAAGCGCGCGUAGGCGGUCAGAAAAGUCCGCUGUGAAAACUCGAGGCUCAACUUCGAGCUGUCGGUGGAAACUUUCUGGCUAGAGUCCGGAAGAGGAGAAUGGAAUUCCUGGUGUAGCGGUGAAAUGCGCAGAUAUCAGGAAGAACACCCGUGGCGAAGGCGGUUCUCUGGGACGGUACUGACGCUGAGACGCGAAAGCGUGGGGAGCGAACAGG
RNAcentral lists this ribosomal RNA (253 nucleotides) under uncultured bacterium. RNAcentral's name for it is "partial 16S ribosomal RNA". It matches the Rfam family "Bacterial small subunit ribosomal RNA", at positions 524 to 776 of the family's 1533-position model. The record is from RNAcentral.